GAUGAACGCUGGCGGCGUGCCUAAUACAUGCAAGUCGAGCGAACAGACGAGGAGCUUGCUCCCCUGACGUUAGCGGCGGACGGGUGAGUAACACGUGGAUAAACUACCUAUAAGACUGGGAUAACUUCGGGAAACCGGAGCUAAUACCGGAUAAUAUAUUGAACCGCAUGGUUCACUAGUGAAAGUCGGUUUUUCUGUCACUAAAAGCUGGCUCCGCGCCGCAUUAGCUAGUUGGUAAGGUAACGGCUUACCAAGGCAACGAUGCUUAGCCGACCUGAGAGGGUGAUCGGCCAGACUGGAACUGAGACACGGUCCAGACUCCUACGGGAGGCAGCAGUAGGGAAUCUUCCGCAAUGGGCGAAAGCCUGACGGAGCAACGCCGCGUGAGUGAUGAAGGUCUUCGGAUCGUAAAACUCUGUUAUUAGGGAAGAACAAAUGUGUAAGUAACUAUGCACGUCUUGACGGUACCUAAUCAGUAAGCCACGGCUAACUACGUG
Molecule: ribosomal RNA, 497 nt
Filed under: uncultured bacterium
Lineage: Bacteria
Description: partial 16S ribosomal RNA
Rfam family: Bacterial small subunit ribosomal RNA
Source: RNAcentral